Molecule: long non-coding RNA, 239 nt
Filed under: Capsicum annuum
Lineage: Eukaryota; Viridiplantae; Streptophyta; Magnoliopsida; Solanales; Solanaceae
Description: long non-coding RNA (CANN_LNC010238)
Source: RNAcentral
AGAAAAGUUCAUCCCCAGACUCAUGCUACCAGUGCACCAGCUCCUAUAGUACGUCCAGUCCCUCCUUAGGGUACUUUAUACAGCACUGUUGGCGAUCAUCUUCAGAAUUUAUUCUAUGUUUUACUAUUCCGCAAAGAGCAGGAGGAUUCACCAGAUGUUGUUAUGGUAUGCUCCGUGUCUUUCACUUUAAUGUGUAUGUAUUAUUGGACCCAGGGUCAAGUUUCUCUUAUGUGACCCCG